GGCCCUAUGGCGGAAUUAGGCAUACGCAACAAGCUCAAACCUUGUAAAAUUCUCAGUUCAAAUCUGAGUAGGGCUA
Molecule: transfer RNA, 76 nt
Filed under: Bacteriophage sp.
Also listed under: 1 other name
Description: tRNA-Leu
Rfam family: tRNA
About the family: Transfer RNA (tRNA) molecules are approximately 80 nucleotides in length. Their secondary structure includes four short double-helical elements and three loops (D, anti-codon, and T loops).
Source: RNAcentral